Molecule: ribosomal RNA, 303 nt
Filed under: uncultured bacterium
Lineage: Bacteria
Description: partial 16S ribosomal RNA
Rfam family: Bacterial small subunit ribosomal RNA
Source: RNAcentral
AGCAGUCGCCGCGGGAAUACGUAGGUGGCAAGCGUUGUCCGGAAUUAUUGGGCGUAAAGGGCUCGCAGGCGGUUUCUUAAGUCUGAUGUGAAAGCCCCCGGCUCAACCGGGGAGGGUCAUUGGAAACUGGGAAACUUGAGUGCAGAGGAGGAGAGUGGAAUUCCACGUGUAGCCGUGAAAUGCGUAGAGAUGUGGAGGAACACCAGUGGCGAAGGCGACUCUCUGGUCUGUAACUGACGCUGAGGAGCGAAAGCGUGGGGAGCGAACAGGAUUAGAUACCCCCGUAGUCCCUGUCUCUUAUAC